AAAUUGAAGAGUUUGAUCAUGGCUCAGAUUGAACGCUGGCGGCAGGCCUAACACAUGCAAGUCGAACGGUAACAGGAAGCAGCUUGCUGCUUUGCUGACGAGUGGCGGACGGGUGAGUAAUGUCUGGGAAACUGCCUGAUGGAGGGGGAUAACUACUGGAAACGGUGGCGC
RNAcentral lists this ribosomal RNA (171 nucleotides) under Salmonella enterica. RNAcentral describes it as "partial 16S ribosomal RNA". It matches the Rfam family "Bacterial small subunit ribosomal RNA", at positions 1 to 165 of the family's 1533-position model. Lineage: Bacteria; Pseudomonadati; Pseudomonadota; Gammaproteobacteria; Enterobacterales; Enterobacteriaceae. The record is from RNAcentral.